RNAcentral lists this long non-coding RNA (1071 nucleotides) under Vulpes vulpes (red fox). RNAcentral describes it as "lncRNA (ENSVVUG00000003290.1)". The record is from RNAcentral. Lineage: Eukaryota; Metazoa; Chordata; Mammalia; Carnivora; Canidae.
CAUACACUAAACCUAACCCUAACCCUAAUCCGUACCCUAACCCUAACCCUAACCCUAACCAGGACCCUAAAGCUAACUCUUACCCGUACCAUAAACCGUACCCUAACCCUAACUCUAACCCUUAAGCUAAACCUAACCCUCACCCUAACCAGUACCGUAACCCGUAGCCUAACCCUAACCCUAAAGCGUAACGUAACCCUAACCAUAAACAUAACCCGUAACCUAACCCUAACCCUACACCUAACCCUAACCCUUACCUUAACCCUAACCCUAACCCUAAACCGUACCCCAACCCGUACCCUCACCCUAACCCUAAAACGUACCCUGACCCUAACACUAACCCUACUGCUAACCCGUACCCUCACCCUUACCCGAAGCCAUACCCUAACCCUAUCCCUUACUCUAACCCUAACCAGUACCAUAACCCUAACCAUAACGAGUUCCCUAACCCUAACCAUAAACUUAAACCUAACCCGUACCCUAACCCUAACGCCAACCCUAAACCUAAUCCUAACCCUAACCUUAAACGUAAGCCGUACCCUAAACCUAACCAUAACCCUAAGCCGAACCCUAACCCUAACCCCUACCCUAACUCUAACCAUAACCCUAAGCCUAACCAGGACCCUAACCCUCACCCUAACACUGACCCGGACCCUAACCUGGACCCUAAUGCGUACCCUUACCCUAUCCCUAAACCAAAACAGUACCCUAACCCUAACCCUAAACCGUACACUAACACUAACCCUGACCCUACCCCAAUCCUAAACCGUACACUUACCCUAACCCUAACCCUAACCCGUACCCUAAACCUAAACCUAAACCGUACUCUAAACCUAACCCUAACCCUCACCCUAUUGCUAACCCGUACCCUAACCCUAUUCCUAACACUAACCCUGACCCGUAUCCUAACCCGGACCCUAACCAUAACCCUAACCCGUACCCUAAUGCUAAACCUAACCCUCACUCUAACGCUAACCUUAACCCUAAACCAUACCCUAAACCUAAACCUAAACUGAACACUAACCCCUACCCUAACCCUCACCCUAACACUAACCAGUACCCUAAACCUAA